This 322-nucleotide unclassified non-coding RNA is filed under the name soil metagenome. RNAcentral's name for it is "partial contains 5.8S ribosomal RNA, internal transcribed spacer 2, and large subunit ribosomal RNA". The stretch from base 1 to 120 matches the Rfam family "5.8S ribosomal RNA", at positions 35 to 154 of the family's 154-position model. The record is from RNAcentral.
GAUGAAGAACGUAGCGAAAUGCGAUAAGUAAUGUGAAUUGCAGAAUUCAGUGAAUCAUCGAAUCUUUGAACGCACAUUGCGCCCUUUGGCAUUCCGAAGGGCACACCUGUCCGAGCGCCGUCGCACAACUGAGGCGCAGCCUUGCGUUGGCGGGCGACUUGUGAGUAGCGAGUCGUCGCCCAAACGAGACGGCGCCGCGCCGCGGCCGACGAAGCACGAAAGCGGAAGUCGACGCGGAGGCGGUUGCCUGUAGGAAGACACAGCUUGGCCUCGGAUCAGGUGGGGAUACCCGCUGAACUUAAGCAUAUCAAUAAGCGGAGGA